UUGAAUCCACGGCGGCUUACAGCCGUGUGUUUUCUCUGCAGCGCCACCGGAGUCGGGCGUCCCCGAAGGGUAGGACUCAGUUCCCCCGCCCGCCAUGAAGAAGGCAAACAUGGGAAAAUCGGCUUGUGCUACUGCAGAAGGCUGGAGACAGCAGCAUUUUAUUCGCUGAGGUUGCAGAUUAAUGGAACCAGCUGAGAUGGGAGCCAGAAGACCCGGCUUUCUAUGAGGUGGCUAUGGUCUCUAGUCCUUGGAGUUUGAGGAAAGUUGCAUGCAGUUCAGCUCAGUCUAAGAGGUGGAUAUAUCAAGAAGAAGAUGGGCCAUCCUGGAGGUUCAUAGCUGUCAUUUUUUGAUUUGGAAUUUGGAACCCUGCCGGGCUUCAGUGUUUACAGAAGAAGCCUGCUCACCCUGUGCCAGACCAUCCUUAUCAUUGGUCUGGCAGUUUUCUUUUUCGGUUCCGGCCAUGAGGCCUGA
Dipodomys ordii (Ord's kangaroo rat) is the source of this 471-nucleotide long non-coding RNA. RefSeq lists it as uncharacterized. NCBI's taxonomy places the organism in Eukaryota, Metazoa, Chordata, Mammalia, Rodentia, Heteromyidae. The transcript is spliced from 5 exons. The record is from RefSeq and is a predicted model, not a curated record.